RNAcentral lists this small nuclear RNA (191 nucleotides) under Castor canadensis (American beaver). RNAcentral describes it as "U2 spliceosomal RNA (ENSCCNG00000007754.1)". It matches the Rfam family "U2 spliceosomal RNA". Rfam says of the family: U2 is a small nuclear RNA (snRNA) component of the spliceosome (involved in pre-mRNA splicing). Complementary binding between U2 snRNA (in an area lying towards the 5' end but 3' to hairpin I) and the branchpoint sequence (BPS) of the intron results the bulging out of an unpaired adenosine, on the BPS, which initiates a nucleophilic attack at the intronic 5' splice site, thus starting the first of two transesterification reactions that mediate splicing. The record is from Rfam by way of RNAcentral. Lineage: Eukaryota; Metazoa; Chordata; Mammalia; Rodentia; Castoridae.
AUCACUUCUCGGACUUUUGGCUAAGAUCAAGUGUAGUAUCUAUUCUUAUCAGUUUGUUAUCUGAUAUGUCCUCUAUCCAAGGACAAUAUAUUAAAUGGAUUUUUGAAACAGGAAGAUGGAAUAGGAGCUUGCUCCAUCCACUCCACACAUCGACCUGAUAGUGCGGUACCUCCAAGAAUGGUGCACCUCUC